CUAAAUACUACCCAGUGACCGAUAGCGUAUAGUACUGUGAAGGAAAGGUGAAAAGCACCCCGGGAGGGGAGUGAAAAAGAACCUGAAACCCUGUGCCUACAAGCACCUAGAGCGCGUCAAAGCGUGAUAGGGUACUUUUUGUAGAACGGUCCGGCGAGCGAUUGUAUGCAGCAAGGUUAAGGACUUAAGGUCUGGAGCCGAAGCGAAAGCGAGUUUGAAAAGGGCGUUAAGUUGCAUAUAAUGGGCCCGAAACCGGGUGACCUACCCAUGGUCAGGUUGAAGUGGAAGUAAAAUUCCAUGGAGGACCGAACCGACCUCCGUUGAAAAGGCGGCGGAUGAACUGUGGGUAGCGGAGAAAUUCCAAUCGAACCCGGAGAUAGCUGGUUCUCCCCGAAAUAGUUUUAGGACUAGCCUCAAGUUAGAUACCUGGAGGUAAAGCACUGAAUAGCCUAGCGGCCGAGAGGUUAGCGAAGCUUAUCAAACUCAGAAUGCCAGAGUAUUGAUGCUUGGGAGUCAGACAGUGUCAGAUAAAUGUCAUUGUCAAAAGGGAAACAGCCCAGAUCUACAGCUAAGGUCCCAAAGUCAGGUUAAGUGGAAAACGAUGUGAAGAUACGCAGACAACCAGGAUGUUGGCUCAGAAGCAGCCACUCAUUCAAAGAGUGCGUAAUAGCUCACUGGUCGAGCGUCUUUGCGCGGAGAAUUUAACGGGGCUAAACCUGACACCGAAGCUUAGGCAAUACAGCAAUGUAUUGGGUAGGGGAGCGUUGUAUACGCGGAGAAACAGUAGCGCAAGCGGCUGUGGAGUGUAUAGAAGUGAGAAUGCCGGAAUGAGUAGCGCGAAUGCAGUGAGAAUCUGCAUGGCCGAAAGCCUCAGGUUUCUGGAGGAAGGUUCGUCCGCUCCAGGUUAGUCGGGAGCUAAGGUGAGGCCGGAAGGCGUAGCCGAUGCACAGACGGUAGAGAUUCCGUCACCACCAAAAGAGUUAAGCACAGGGACACAUAUGAAGUCUCAGAGCCGGGUGUUGGUUCCGGUAGAGAUCGAGGGAAGUUAGUACCGAAGUCUGAGAUGGAAGAUGGCGAGAAAAGCUGUGUGUAUUUCUGAGGUGCCCGUACCGCAAACCGACACAGGUAGGUAGGAAGAAGAUUCUAAGGCCAACGGGAGAAGGGUUGUUAAGGAACUCGGCAAGUUGACCCCGUAACUUCGGAAUAAGGGGUGCUCACGAGAGUGAGCCGCAGAGAAUAGGCCCAGGCAACUGUUUACCAAAAACACAGGUUUGUGCUAAAUCGAAAGAUGACGUAUACGAGCUGACGCCUGCCCGGUGCUGGAAGGUUAAGAGGAGAUGUGCAAGCAUUGAAUCGAAGCCCCAGUGAACGGCGGCCGUAACUAUAACGGUCCUAAGGUAGCGAAAUUCCUUGUCAGGUAAGUUCUGACCCGCAUGAAAGGCGUAAUGAUUUGGGCACUGUCUCAACAGCCCGCCCGGCGAAAUUGUAGUACCGGUGAAGAUGCCGGUUACCCGCGACAAGACGGAAAGACCCCAUGGAGCUUUACUGUAGCCUAAUAUUGGGUUUCGAUGUUGCAUGCACAGGAUAGAUGGGACUCUGGGAAACCAAGGCUUUGGCUUUGGCGGAGAGGCCGUUGGGAUACCAUCCUUGCGAUAUUGGAAUUCUAACCUGCGGCUCUGAAUCGAGUCGGGGGACAUUGUUAGGUGGGCAGUUUGACUGGGGCGGUCGCCUCCUAAAGA
This 1739-nucleotide ribosomal RNA is filed under the name human metagenome. RNAcentral's name for it is "bacterial LSU rRNA". It matches the Rfam family "Bacterial large subunit ribosomal RNA", at positions 466 to 2296 of the family's 2925-position model. The record is from RNAcentral.